This 23-nucleotide microRNA is filed under the name Gallus gallus (chicken). RNAcentral's name for it is "microRNA Ros-gga". Lineage: Eukaryota; Metazoa; Chordata; Aves; Galliformes; Phasianidae. The record is from RNAcentral.
UAGCAGCACAUCACUGGUUUGCA